CAUUAGCUAGUUGGUAGGGUAAAGGCCUACCAAGGCGACGAUGGGUAGCCGGCCUGAGAGGGUGAUCGGCCACACUGGGACUGAGAUACGGCCCAGACUCCUACGGGAGGCAGCAGCUAAGAAUCUUCCGCAAUGGACGAAAGUCUGACGGAGCGACGCCGCGUGGGUGAAGAAGGCCGGAAGGUUGUAAAGCCCUUUUCUCGUUGAGGAAUAAGCACAGGAGGGAAUGCCUGUGCGAUGACGGUAGGCGAGGAAUAAGUCCCGGCCAAUUACGUGCCAGCAGCCGCGGUAACACGUAUGGGACGAGCGUUGUUCGGAAUCAUUGGGCGUAAAGGGCGCGUAGGCGGCGAGGUAAGCCUGGUGUGAAAGACCGCAGCUUAACUGCGGAACCGCGCUAGGAACUGCUUUGCUUGAGUUCAGGAGGGGGAGCUGGAAUUCCAGGUGUAGGGGUGAAAUCUGUAGAUAUCUGGAAGAACACCGGCGGCGAAGGCGAGCUCCUGGCCAUGAACUGACGCUGAGGCGCGAAAGCGUGGGGAGCGAACAGGAUUAGAUACCCUGGUAGUCCACGCUGUAAACGAUGUGCACUAGGUGUUGGGCCACGAAGGUUCAGUGCCGGAGUCAACGCGUUAAGUGCACCGCCUGGGGAGUAUGCUCGCAAGGGUGAAACUCAAAGGAAUUGACGGGGGCCCGCACAAGCGGUGGAGCAUGUGGUUUAAUUCGAUGAUACGCGAGGAACCUUACCAGGGUUUGACAUAUGCCGGAAUGUGCAGGAGACUGCGCAGCCCUUCGGGGCCGGUAUACAGGUGCUGCAUGGCCGUCGUCAGCUCGUGCCGUGAGGUGUUGGGUUAAGUCCCGCAACGAGCGCAACCCCUACCGUCUGUUGCCAGCAUUCAGUUGGGGACUCAGGCGGAACUGCCGCCGACAAACCGGAGGAAGGUGGGGACGACGUCAGGUCAUCAUGGCCCUUAUAUCCUGGGCUACACACGUGCUACAAUGGCCGGUACAGAGCGAAGCAACACCGCGAGGUAGAGCAAAUCGCAGAAAGCCGGUCUCAGUUCGGAUUGGAGUCUGAAACCCGACUCCAUGAAGUUGGAAUCGCUAGUA
RNAcentral lists this ribosomal RNA (1104 nucleotides) under uncultured organism. RNAcentral's name for it is "bacterial SSU rRNA". It matches the Rfam family "Bacterial small subunit ribosomal RNA", at positions 239 to 1340 of the family's 1533-position model. The record is from RNAcentral.